RNAcentral lists this ribosomal RNA (447 nucleotides) under uncultured bacterium. RNAcentral describes it as "bacterial SSU rRNA". It matches the Rfam family "Bacterial small subunit ribosomal RNA", at positions 330 to 794 of the family's 1533-position model. The record is from RNAcentral.
CCCAGACUCCUACGGGAGGCAGCAGUGGGGGAUAUUGCACAAUGGGGGAAACCCUGAUGCAGCGACGCCGCGUGAGUGAAGAAGUAUUUCGGUAUGUAAAGCCCUAUCAGCAGGGAAGAAAAUGACAGUACCUGACCAAGAAGCCCCGGCUAACUACGUGCCAGCAGCCGCGGUAAUACGUAGGGGGCAAGCGUUAUCCGGAUUUACUGGGUGUAAAGGGAGCGUAGACGGUUAUGUAAGUCUGGAGUGAAAGCCCGGGGCCCAACCCCGGGACUGCUUUGGGAACUGUUUUGCUGGAGUAUGGGAGGGGUAAGCGGAAUUCCUGGUGUAGCGGUGAAAUGCGUAGAUAUCAGGAGGAACACCGGUGGCGAAGGCGGCUUACUGGACCAUAACUGACGUUGAGGCUCGAAAGCGUGGGGAGCGAACAGGAUUAGAUACCCGUGUAGG